UGCAGUGUGGCUAAGUGGAUAGAGCACAGACUUCGGGGUCAGAAAGACCUGGGUUCUAAUCCCGGCUCUGCCA
Molecule: transfer RNA, 73 nt
Filed under: Ornithorhynchus anatinus (platypus)
Lineage: Eukaryota; Metazoa; Chordata; Mammalia; Monotremata; Ornithorhynchidae
Rfam family: tRNA
About the family: Transfer RNA (tRNA) molecules are approximately 80 nucleotides in length. Their secondary structure includes four short double-helical elements and three loops (D, anti-codon, and T loops).
Source: Rfam by way of RNAcentral